UAGGGAAUAUUGCAAAAUGGGCGAAAGCCCGAUGCAGCAACGCCGCGUGGGCGAUGAAGGCCUUCGGGUCGUAAAGCCCUUUUUGAGGGGAUGAGGAAGGACAGUACCCUCAGAAUAAGCCUCGGCUAACUACGUGCCAGCAGCCGCGGUAAAACGUAGGAGGCGAGCGUUAUCCGGAUUUACUGGGCGUAAAGCGCGUGCAGGCGGAUUGGAGAGUUGGAUGUGAAAGCUCCCGGCUUAACUGGGAGAGGUCGUUCAAUACUUCCAGGCUUGAGUGCAGUAGAGGGUAGUGGAAUUCCGGGUGUAGUGGUGAAAUGCGUAGAUAUCCGGAGGAACACCAGUGGCGAAAGCGGCUUCCUGGACUGUAACUGACGCUCAGACGCGAAAGCUAGGGUAGCAAACG
RNAcentral lists this ribosomal RNA (403 nucleotides) under uncultured bacterium. Its description in RNAcentral is "bacterial SSU rRNA". It matches the Rfam family "Bacterial small subunit ribosomal RNA", at positions 355 to 774 of the family's 1533-position model. The record is from RNAcentral.